AAAAAAAUGUGUUGCACUAUUUUAAUAGUUUAGAAUUAUCUGCAUCAACUAAUUAUAGGUAGGUCACAUUCAUUUAAUUAGGAAUCUUUAAAACUAGGAACAUUUUUCACUUUCCUUUUCAUGAGUUGAAGACUUAGUGAUUUCAAAGGUUUUCCUACCUUAACAUCCAAAGACUCUGCUUCUUUUGCCACACAAGGUGCUGCGAAUCCUGCCCCCCGAAGCCAAAAUGUAUUGUGUUACUAAAAAUUGCUAGAGAGACUCUGGGAGCUUCACAGAAAACCCCCAAAUCUUGUCAAAUUUGCAUUGUCUCUUGUUGAUUAUUUUAUUCUUAUUAAUCCAUCAGGAUAUUUGUCCCCACCUACUCACUAAGACAGAGGACCUCAAUCGUCCUUCAACAACAUCUGGAGCUGGGGCUGGAAGAAAUCCCUUGGGGCCUCCAAGCUUGCUGCCCAGGAAAGAAGAACCACAGUUUCCUCUGUGGCUGGCUGGAUCAGCCAACGCUGUCCCUCACUCUGUCCGUAAUGGUCAGUCAGCCAAGGAAAGAGGCCUCGAGACUUUCUCUCUCUGGUUGUCAAGCUUUGACUUCACUCUCAGCAAACAGGCCUUCAACAAACUAGGUUCCUGGCAAACAAGCAUGUGCUCAAACUGA
Molecule: long non-coding RNA, 649 nt
Filed under: Bos grunniens (domestic yak)
Lineage: Eukaryota; Metazoa; Chordata; Mammalia; Artiodactyla; Bovidae
Description: lncRNA (ENSBGRG00000001587.1)
Source: RNAcentral